AGCUGUGGAGGACGCGAGUUACGCUUUGCGGGGGAUUUUGCCUCGUCUCCGUUACGAGUUGUUGACUGAGCGCGGCGCUGUGGUUUUUAACUUGCUUACCUUGUGGUCUUGGAAAACCUGAGGGAGGUUUUUAUGCGGCCACCCUCUCAGUGAGCUCCCCUUUCCACGCCGUCCGUCUGCCUCGGCCGGCGACGCGCCGUGCGUACCUCGGAAGUUUCCUCAGAGGCCGGGAUGGCUCAUUUUAUCCUCAUCUGCUGCGGCUCUGCGAUUGUCCCAACUUUGUCUUUACUUUUGUCUGACUUUACUAUUCCACUUGCGCAGUGGACCCCACGGCACCGCAGAGCGCCAGAGAUUUGUGUUGGAUUGAACUUACCAGUUUGAUCUUGGAAGUUUAUGAUUCCUCGAAUCUCAGUUUCAUCGCCUCUAAAGCCGUGUUGAUAAUACAUUCCACAUUUGCAGUGUGAUCAUAAAGUAAUUGCCAUAUGGAAAGCAGAAAAUAAUGGAUAAUGAAAAUAGCUAAAGCUUUGGCAUGCUUUUCAAAUGUCUCGAAUUUUCUCUAAAAUUCCUGGAAUGGUUCUGGCCUUGAAUAAGGACAAGAGAAACUCAAGUGGUAUCAAAGCACAUUCAACAAGGACAUGGCAGAGCCUUACACUGCUUAGUUCUUAUCUUUACCCUUUGCUUGAAAAAAAUAUCACAAUCUUUAACCCAGUGACCCACAUUAAGUAGAUUUUCUUCCAACAAUAAGUAAUGAUGUAUAAAAAUAGCCCUCCUGUCCGAGAGGAAAAAGAUUUUUUUUUUUUUUGAUAACUUUUUUUUUUUUUUUAAAGAAAGGACAACUGUUCUCUUGAAAGGAGCCUGAAAAAGCCAACCGACAAUCCUCAGACUGAUGUGUCCAGGCCUGAAUUCUUGCAAUGGAAUGCUGGUUGGAAAUAAAAUGCACCACUUCCUGCUUGACCUAUAACAAUCCCCCAAGUGUGCUCUUCGUACAUUUUCUUCAUCCGCUGAUUGGAAAGGACCCUAGAGACCAAAGAGAAACAAGAACUUUAAGAUAGAAGAAGCUUGGAACAGAGCCUGCUGCCACUCCUUUGCCACCCCAUGAGAUGUAAGCAAGAAAUAACAUUUAUUUUGGUGGAUUCUUUACCAUCUGAGAUCAUCAGGGAAGUCCAGGUUUACUUUGAGGGACUAUAUUUUUAUAGGAAUCAAAAUAUACUAUGAUCUAAUUUGAAAGGUCUACAAUACCACUGCUGAAACAUAGUCAUUGCUGAACACUAAUGAAUGAGACUCCUAACAAGUCAAUGUGCUCAAGAGGUAUGUGAAUUGAUGUUAAUGACAAACAUGUAUUAAUUGUUUAUUGUAUGCCAGACAUUGUGCCAGAUUCUUUCCAUGUACCAACUCUUUUCAUCCCCAUACAAUCAUUUAAAAUAGAUAUUGAUGUCCUCACUUUAACAAUGAGAAGACUGAGGCUCAGAAAAUGGCUGGCCUUGGUCAUAUAUCUAGGUAUUAUUUGUGUGAAAUUCUCACUCUCAAGUUUAAGCUUCUAAUCAGGAUUUUAUACAGAUUUUUAGGACUUCUCUGGUGGCUCAGAUGGUAAAGAGUUUGCCUACAAUGUGGGAGACCCGGGUUAGAUCCCUGGGUUGGGAAGAUCCCCUGGAGAAGGAAAUGGCAACCCACUCCAGUACUCUUGCCAGGAAAACCCCAUGGAUGGAGGAACCUGGUGGGCUACAGUCCAUGGGGUCUGAAAGAGUCAGACAAGUUCAUUCAUUAGUUCAAGUCUCAUUCAUUAGUGUUCAGCAAAGACUAUGUUUCAGCAGUGGUGUUGUAGGCCUUUCAAAUUAGAUCAUAGUAUAUCUUGACUCCUAUAAAAAUAUAUAGGAAUGAUCAUAAUAUAUUUUGAUUCAUAUAUAUUUCUAUAGGAAUACAGAUUUUAGUGCAGGGCAAAACUGAGAAGUCACUUCAUUGUCACCUUUUAACAACCUUUCCUCCUUCAGAGAACUCACUCUUACUCUUCAUGUACACAGCUUCUAGUACAUUUCUAGUCAUUUAUCUCUAUUAAGAGGUUUCAUUUUUCAUUUGCAUGUGAGAACACACACUAAUGUGUUCACUCUAGCCUUUUAAUCUUUUCUUCUUUGUUAAUUAAAGGCUCUGUUUCCUAUUGAAGAAAUUUAAGGCAGUAUUAUGCAGGAGACUUUUUGUUGAACAAAGUAAAAUCUUUUUUUUUUUUUCACAUUUUGGCCAUGCUGUGAGGUAUGUGGAAUCUUAGUUACCCAACCAGGGAUUGAACCUGUGCCCCCUGCAGUGGAAGAGUGGAGUCUUAACUGUUGGACUGCCAGCAAUGAAUAAUAUUCCAUUGGGCUUCCCUGGUGGCUCAGUAGUAAUGAAUCCUCCUGCCAAUGCUGGAGACACAGGAGAUGCAGAACUAGAACAAAUAAUUUCACAAUUUGUAUGGAAAUACAAAAAACCUCAAAUAACCAAAGCAAUCUUGAGAAAGAAGAAUGGAACUGGAGGAAUCAACCUGCCUGACUUCAGACUCUACUACAAAGCCACAGUCAUCAAAACAGUAUGGUACUGGCACAAAGACAGAAAUAUAUAUCAAUGGAACAGAAUAGAAAGCCCAGAGAUAAAUCCACGUACCUAUGGACACCUUGUCUUCAACAAAGGAGGCAAGGAUAUACAAUAGAAAAAAGACAACCUCUUUAACAAGUGGUGCUGGGAAAACUGGUCAACCACUUGGAAAAGAAUGAAACUAGAACACUUUCUAACACCAUACACAAAAAUAAACUCAAAAUGGAUUAAAGAUCUAAAUGUAAGGCCAGAAACUACAAAACUCCUAGAGGAGAACAUAGGCAAAACACUCUCUGACAUAAAUCACAGCAAGAUCCUCUAUGACCCACCUCCCAGAAUAUUGGAAAUAAAAGCAAAAAUAAACA
Long non-coding RNA from Dama dama (fallow deer), 2927 nucleotides. RefSeq lists it as uncharacterized. The record is from RefSeq and is a predicted model, not a curated record. Lineage: Eukaryota; Metazoa; Chordata; Mammalia; Artiodactyla; Cervidae. The transcript is spliced from 5 exons.